UUAACACAUGCAAGUCGAACGAGAAGCUAUCUUCGGAUAGUAGAAAGUGGCAAACGGGUGAGUAACACGUGGGAAUGUGCCUUUUGGAUCGGGACAACAGUUGGAAACGACUGCUAAUACCGGAUAAGCUCUACGGAGGAAAGAUUUAUCGCCAAAAGAUCAGCCCGCGCUAGAUUAGCUAGUUGGUAAGGUAAUGGCUUACCAAGGCUACGAUCUAUAGCUGGUUUGAGAGGAUGACCAGCCACACUGGGACUUAGAUACGGCCCAGACUCC
This 273-nucleotide ribosomal RNA is filed under the name unidentified marine bacterioplankton. RNAcentral describes it as "partial 16S ribosomal RNA". It matches the Rfam family "Bacterial small subunit ribosomal RNA", at positions 48 to 339 of the family's 1533-position model. The record is from RNAcentral.